RNAcentral lists this ribosomal RNA (253 nucleotides) under uncultured bacterium. Its description in RNAcentral is "partial 16S ribosomal RNA". It matches the Rfam family "Bacterial small subunit ribosomal RNA", at positions 524 to 776 of the family's 1533-position model. The record is from RNAcentral.
UACGUAGGGUGCAAGCGUUGUCCGGAAUUAUUGGGCGUAAAGAGCGCGCAGGCGGUCUAUCAAGUCAGAUGUGAAAUAUCCCGGCUUAACCGGGAGGGGUCAUUUGAAACUGGUAGACUAGAGUACAGCAGAGGAUAGCGGAAUUCCCGGUGUAGUGGUGAAAUGCGUAGAUAUUGGGAAGAACACCGGUGGCGAAGGCGGCGACCUGGUCCGAUACUGACGCUGAGGCGCGAAAGCGUGGGGAGCAAACAGG